AUGAGGAUUAGGCCGUCCUUCAACCUGUAUCACAGAAAUUUCGAAAGGGCUGGGCCGUGGGCACCUCUCAUUCCUCAUUCUGCAGAGCGCUCAGACGGGGCGGCACCUAGGCGGUGGGAGCAGCAGCAGACCUUCGCCGGCUGCAGACAGGUGCACACGGACGCAGGGUGGGGAGCACCCCCGCAGGUCCUCAGCACCCUGGGCAGCUACGGCGAGCCAGUGCACCAGCUCAGGGAUCCAGACGGAUACCCAGAAAGACUGCUGACUGCAGGAGAAGACGACAACGCCAGGGUGCUGGGGCCGGACCCCGAGGGUGGCGGCCACUUCAGGGAGGAGCGGACACGGCGGGAACCAGGGAGCACUCCUCUGCUCCAGGAACGCCUGUGGGAAUCCCCCGGCACAGACUCGCUGAAUCUCCCAGUUUUCAACACUGGUUCAGUGUGAACCCUCGGCUGGCCUGAGGAAACAUCUGCUGGGUGAAUACGGCCCCUGCCCCCAGUCUGUACCCAAGGCAGAUGACAGAGGUCAGAAGACAGCUUGCCCGGACUGACUCACCCGCUCUUGGGUGUGCCCAGCUCAGCAUGGAGGCUGGAGAACCGUGGAGUCACCGCGAUCCAACAGAUUUGAGUCUGAUCCCGGCUCACCUCCGACUACCUGCAAGGCCUCAAGUGAACUAUUACCCAACCUCCCGUACCUCCACGUCCGUCUGCAAGAUGGGCUGAUAAUACCCAACACUGAGAAAUUUGUGAGGCUUCAAAAUGUGUGUGUGUGUGUGUGUGUGUGUGUGUGAAGACGACCAUGAACUCUUCCUAAAUGUCAAAUUUCCUUCCCCCAUAGCUCUUAAAAAAAAUAAAUAAACAAAAAACCCCCAAAAAACCAACUUGGCCAACUCUCAGCUUCUUUAGAUGUCACGGUUCUCCUCUGUUACAAACAAGAAUAACCCUCCAGCCCUGCUGCUCUAAGCGCACUGGAUGGGAUGAAGUGGUGCAGAUGGAAGCAGGUGCUUACAAAUUAGAGAAGUAUGAUCGACCUGAACGCCAACACCCUUUCCUCCCAUUUCGAGGCCCAGGAUGCACUAAUUUGCUUUCCUAAAGUGUUUCUACCCCUUCCAUAGCGCGAUGCGGGGAGAAGAUGGAAUCGCGGUUGUGGUGAUUCUCAGCAAUCAACUCCCCAGGGUCCGACAGUCCCCCCACCCUCACAGAGGCCAGGAAACAUUAGGUCACCGCCUGGUCACUUAGAGGCCCAGCAGGUUUGUUUUCUCUCUCCAUGCUCUCCUCUUAGAGAACUGAGGUAGAACAUAAAGUCACUUACCAGCUGCAUCUUUCUCUUACCCACACAAAAAACCUGGAGCCACAGGCCAAACAACUACACUUAAGUAUCAUCGAGAAUUCGCUAUGACAUUUUCCAACUGAAAAAGGAUUUUUGUCAGUUCUCUCAUUUCCCCACACCCUGUGACCAAACUGGGACAUGCUUUGGCAUUUCCUCAACUGACUUAAAGCAUCUUUACAACUCCUUUUAGACUAACCAUCCCAGCCAGGGCUGGGCUGACGGGCCAACCUAGCACUUUGACUUUCAACAAUUACAGUAUCAUUUACUUAGUUUUUCUCUUAAAAGCAAAGAGGCAUCAGGGACGCCUGGGUGGCUCAGUGUUUGAGCAUCUGCCUUCGGCUCAGGGCGUGAUCCCAGUUUCUGGGAUCUUGCAUCAGGCUCACCAGGAGGAGUCUGCUUCUCCCUCUGCCUGUGUCUCUGCCUCUCUCUCUAUAUCUCUCAUGAUUAAAUAAAAUCUUUAAGGAAAAAAAAAAAAAGAAAAAAGCAAAGAGGCAUUAAAAUCAAUUCCACUGCAGCUACUAAGAAAUGUAGGUUUAUCUUAUGCCUUCUCCUACCCCAGACUUGAAUGGCCCCUUUAUGCAAUCACAUUUCCAAAUUACUAAUCAAGCAUGACAGGAUGAGUAGGAAUUGUAUGAUGAAUCUACAGUGAAAAAAAUGAGCAAGUUGGAUAAAUAUACAGAUAUUACUUCCCACGUCCCUCUUCUUCAAAGCAAGGUUCUUGGAAAGCAAAAAGAACAGUGCAGAAUGUUUUAGGAGUCAAUAUUUCACUAAAUAUUUACACGUCUUGAUGCCGGAGGCAAACACGGUGAAAAGGGCAAUACAAAUAUAAGAUUUCUUUCAGGCAAUAAGUACAUCUCCAUUCACCCCAUGAUUUGUUUUUAUAAUAUACACUUUUUAUUUAUGUAUACCAUGUUUCCAGAAGUAUACACAAAACUUAAAUGGGUAAGUUGUAUGUUUACUACUCUGACCUGCUUUUUUUUUUAAAUGUUUUUAUUUAUUUAUUCAUGACAGACACAGGCAGGGACAGAGGCAGAGGGAGAAGCAGGCUCCCUGCAGGGAACCCCAUGCCAGACUCGAUCCCGGGACCCCAGGAUCACUACCUGAGCCAAAGGCAGAUACUCAACCACUGAGCCACCCAGGCGUCCCUCUAAGUUCUGUUUUUUGAUGAGCAUAACUUAGAAAGGAUUUGGGCAGUUCUAAAAAUUUGCUAACACAUUUUACACAACCUGUCUGUUGGGACACAACUCAAUUCCCAGCUUACUAAUACCCUUUGUAUAAAAAAAAGCUGACCCAGCAUCCACCUGCAUCAACUUGAUCCCCUCAGCUCAGUCAUGCUCAGCAACACCCGGUGCCUUCGUAGCAAAAAUAAAAAAAAAAAAAAAAAAAAAAAAGAAAAGGAAAAAAAAAAAAAAAAGCAGCAGCAGCACCGCAGGAGGGAAAAAAGAAAAAAAGACUUUACACCCGAUUUACAAAGAGUGAGGGUGUGCACAAGGCCUUGAAUCCAGAAACACUAGCAGUGCCUUCCAACUCUACCUUCUGCAAAACAAAACAAAACAAAACAACAACAAAAAAAGUGGUGAUGUUACUUUUAAAGGAAAAUGCUAAACAUACCAAAGCAGAGACACUUGUGUAAGGAAUUCCACAGCCCAGCCUUCAUCCCGCUUCAACCAAUAACAACUCACAGCCCCCGUCCUCGGAGCUCAUCGCUCACUUUUGCCCCUGCAGCCCUCUCCCCAAACUGGAUUAUUUGGAAGCAAAUCCUGCCCCUAUAUUUCAACUUCAGUAUGUAUUUCCAAAAGAUAAAGGUUUUUUAAAACCAACAACAAAACAAAACCGUAACACCGGUACCAAAAAUAGCUAAGCAAACCUAAUAUCCUUCAGACGACCAACUAGCCGGCCCAAUCCCCUUUUAUCGGCUCAAUUUUUCAUGGACUUUCCUCCCUUCAAGUCAGGACCUAACCAAGCUGGCGCCCUGCAGCGCCGCAUCACCGGGGCUGACACCCGCAGGUCCCCUCCCGGCCGCUGGCGCUCGGCCGCACCUGCCUCCACCUGCGUCCACCGGCCUCGCCCGCCGCCACCUGCCGGGGCCACCCGCCCAGGUGAGAAAGCGGAGCCUCGGCCCACGAGUGGCGGGGCGCAGGCCCAGGGGCGGCCGCCGGGAGGCG
RNAcentral lists this long non-coding RNA (3494 nucleotides) under Canis lupus familiaris (dog). RNAcentral's name for it is "lncRNA (ENSCAFG00000051451.1)". Lineage: Eukaryota; Metazoa; Chordata; Mammalia; Carnivora; Canidae. The record is from RNAcentral.